ACGACCUUACUUGAACAGGAUCUGUUCUAUAGGCUCGUACAUCUGACUCAGUAAGAGAAAGAUAGCAAGGAAUUUAAACUUGGAAGAUGAUAUACGACUGCUGGGCCCGAGCGUGAUGUACUAUACAACCAGCGCGAUCAUCCGUAUCGUGCUGGGUGUGUGUGGUUGAGGAUCGUUCUCGAGCGCAGUUAACCUGCCCUCAGAGAUGGUCGAGCGGUGGUCUGACAAGUU
RNAcentral lists this small nucleolar RNA (231 nucleotides) under Genlisea aurea. RNAcentral's name for it is "Plant small nucleolar RNA U3". It matches the Rfam family "Plant small nucleolar RNA U3". Rfam says of the family: Small nucleolar RNAs (snoRNAs) are involved in the processing and modification of rRNA in the nucleolus. There are two main classes of snoRNAs: the box C/D class, and the box H/ACA class. U3 snoRNA is a member of the box C/D class. The record is from Rfam by way of RNAcentral. Lineage: Eukaryota; Viridiplantae; Streptophyta; Magnoliopsida; Lamiales; Lentibulariaceae.